This 98-nucleotide small RNA is filed under the name Vibrio sp. ES.051. Its description in RNAcentral is "t44 RNA". It matches the Rfam family "t44 RNA". From Rfam's summary of the family: This family consists of a number of bacterial RNA genes of between 135 and 170 bases in length. The t44 gene is found between the map and rpsB genes in all species in the full alignment apart from Shigella flexneri. The record is from RNAcentral. Lineage: Bacteria; Pseudomonadati; Pseudomonadota; Gammaproteobacteria; Vibrionales; Vibrionaceae.
AAUAACCUUUUAUCUUUAAAUCACACACAUUCCGUCACAUAUUCCGGGGUGCUGAGCAGAAGCUUGGUCGGAGUUAUGGGGAGUGUGGAGGCCUAACC